UUGGGUAUUACAGUGAUGU
This 19-nucleotide non-coding RNA is filed under the name Rattus norvegicus (Norway rat). The record is from RNAcentral. Lineage: Eukaryota; Metazoa; Chordata; Mammalia; Rodentia; Muridae.